This 406-nucleotide ribosomal RNA is filed under the name uncultured bacterium. RNAcentral's name for it is "partial 16S ribosomal RNA". It matches the Rfam family "Bacterial small subunit ribosomal RNA", at positions 30 to 526 of the family's 1533-position model. The record is from RNAcentral.
AUUGAACGCUGGCGGCAGGCCUAACACAUGCAAGUCGAACGAGUGGCGGAGGGGUGAGUAAUGUGUGGGAAACUGCCUGAUGGGGGGGGAUAACUACUGGAAACGGUAGCAAAUAGCGUAUACCCUCGGAUGUGCCCAGAUGGGAUUAGCUAGUAGGUGGGGUAACGGCUCACCGAGGCGACGCUCCCUAGCUGGUCUGGGAGGAUGACCAGCCACACGGGAACUGAGACACGGUCCAGACUCCUACGGGAGGCAGCAGUGGGGAAUAUUGCACAAUGGGCGCAAGCCUGAUGCAGCCAUGCCGCGUGUAUGAAGAAGGCCUUCGGGUUGUAAAGUACUUUCAGCGAGGAGGCGUUACCCGCAGAAGAAGCACCGGCUAACUCCGUGCCAGCCGCCGCGGUAAUUC